AGGUACCGUCGGUCCAUAGGACUAUUAAUCCUACAGACUAUCUUCCCUCCCGACAGUGCUUUACGACCCAAGGCCUUCAUCACACACACGGCGUGGCUGCGUCAGGCUUUCGCCCAUUGCGCAAUAUUCCCCA
Molecule: ribosomal RNA, 133 nt
Filed under: uncultured bacterium
Lineage: Bacteria
Description: partial 16S ribosomal RNA
Source: RNAcentral